This 73-nucleotide transfer RNA is filed under the name Leptolyngbyaceae cyanobacterium LF-bin-369. It matches the Rfam family "tRNA". Rfam says of the family: Transfer RNA (tRNA) molecules are approximately 80 nucleotides in length. Their secondary structure includes four short double-helical elements and three loops (D, anti-codon, and T loops). Lineage: Bacteria; Bacillati; Cyanobacteriota; Cyanophyceae; Leptolyngbyales; Leptolyngbyaceae. The record is from Rfam by way of RNAcentral.
GCGAGUGUCGCCAAGUGGUUACGGCAGCGGCUUGUGGUGCCGCCAUUCGGGGGUUCGAGUCCCCUCAUUCGCC